UACGAGAGGCCCAAACGUUAUUCGGAAUCACUGGGCUUAAAGAGUUCGUAGGCGGCGCGGAAAGUGGGGUGUGAAAGCCCUCGGCUCAACCGAGGAAUUGCGCUCCAAACUGCCGUGCUUGAGGAGGCUAGAGGUAAGCAGAACUGAUGGUGGAGCGGUGAAAUGCGUUGAUAUCAUCAGGAAUACCAGAGGCGAAGGCGGCUCCCUGGACAAUAGCUGACACUCAGGCACGAAAGCGUGGGGAGCAAAAGGG
This 253-nucleotide ribosomal RNA is filed under the name uncultured bacterium. RNAcentral's name for it is "partial 16S ribosomal RNA". It matches the Rfam family "Bacterial small subunit ribosomal RNA", at positions 524 to 776 of the family's 1533-position model. The record is from RNAcentral.